UGCGCCUUGCCAGCCCGCUCAGAAACUACAAGGAAUUGACGGGGGCCCGCACAAGCGGAGGAGCAUGUGGUUUAAUUCGAUGAUACGCGAGGAACCUUACCUGGGCUUAAAUGCUUAAUGACGUACUGGGAAACUGGUAUUUCUUCGGACAUUUUGCAAGGUGCUGCAUGGUUGUCGUCAGCUCGUGCCGUGAGGUGUCGGGUUAAGUCCCAUAACGAGCGCAACCCCUAUUGUUAGUUGCCAUCAGGUCAUGCUGGGGACUCUAACAAAACUGCCCGCGUAAGCGUGGAGGAAGGUGGGGAUGACGUCAAAUCAGCACGGCCCUUACGUCCAGGGCUACACACGUGCUACAAUGGCCGGUACAGAGGGCAGCCACUUGGUGACAAGGAGCAAAUCUCAAAAGCCGGUCUCAGUUCGGAUCGGAGUCUGCAACUCGACUCCGUGAAGUUGGAUUCGCUAGUAAUCGUAGAUCAGCAAUGCUACGGUGAAUACGUUCCCGGGCCUU
RNAcentral lists this ribosomal RNA (505 nucleotides) under uncultured Bacteroidota bacterium. RNAcentral's name for it is "bacterial SSU rRNA". It matches the Rfam family "Bacterial small subunit ribosomal RNA", at positions 904 to 1382 of the family's 1533-position model. The record is from RNAcentral. Lineage: Bacteria; Pseudomonadati; Bacteroidota.